CGUGUAGGCGGUUAGGUAAGUGGAAUGUGAAAUCCCCCGGCUUACCCGGGGACCUGCAUCCCAUACUGCCUAGCUUGAGUACGGGAGAGGAUGAGGGAAUUCCUGGUGUAGCGGUGAAAUGCGUAGAUAUCAGGAGGAACACCGGUGGCGAAGGCGCUCAUCUGGCCCGAUACUGACGCUGAUGCGCGAAAGCUAGGGAGCAAACG
Molecule: ribosomal RNA, 206 nt
Filed under: uncultured bacterium
Lineage: Bacteria
Description: partial 16S ribosomal RNA
Rfam family: Bacterial small subunit ribosomal RNA
Source: RNAcentral